UGAGCCUGGCAGAGGAAGGAAGAGAUGAGGUUGGUGAGGGACUGGGGACUGGGUUAGGUGGAGCCUCAUAGGCUACGGUAAGAAGUUCAGAUUUUACUCUGAGUAUGAUGGGAAGUGAUUGGAGGGUGGAUAAGCCAGUCUGAGUGGCAUGAUCUGAUGUCAGGUUAACAGGACUCGUUUGUCCAGUAUGUGGCCAAAUAGACACUAAGGGGGAGCAGUGACAGCAGUGAGACCUGUGAGGUGCUUAUUGCUGUAAUCCAGGCAAGAGAUGGUGGAGCAUUAAUUGAAUGAGGAUUGCAAUGAAGACCUGGCUAGUAUAUUCAAAAGCUAUGUAUAAAUUACAGAAAAGUGACCCUUCUCAAGAGAUGCAGUCUUGCAGGUUCACAGUUUAGCAAGUGAAGUAUGGACUAGAUUUCAGCAUCUUCUCAGUUCUCAGCUGGGCAUGCUUGCACAGUGCACAACAUCCCCAACUGUGUAUGGUGGCCCUGGUAAGGAUGACAUGAAGUGGAUGGAUGAGCGAGAAACAAAGGGGGACAGAUUAUUAGGACUGGGUCAGCUAAGAGCAGUAAUGGGUGACACUAAGGAUGCCAUCUCUCCCUCCCCCUGAUUUCUGGCUUGCCAAAGGACCAGGAAUAGUCAACAAUCCUAGGGUUUAUCUCUGAGGUCUGACCCGAGAGGCCAGGCUCUGCUCACAGACUCAUUCAUUCAUUCAUUCAUUCAUUCAUUCCAUAAAUAUGUCUAGAGCACUGACUAUGUGCCUGUGCAUUGGAUUUACCUGCCACUGCCUGCACCCCUGGCAUUGGAACACUGCUUCUCCUUGGGCACAGCCCUUUGGGGGCCACAGCCCAAGACAGGAGGAAAAUUGCAUUGAAGGCCAACAGGAGCCAGCCUCCGAGGAGCAUCACAGCUGAGACCUGCAGGGAAGAGACAGGAGGAAAAUUGCAUUGAAGGCCAACAGGAGCCAGCCUCCGAGGAGCAUCACAGCUGAGACCUGCAAGGAAGAGACAGAAGGAAGGGUGUUGGCUGGGACAGGGGCAGGUGGAUGCUCCCCUGCUCAUUGACCAGCUUCUGAGUCCUCGCAGCAUGUGGUUUGUGCUAUUAUGAUCUCCAUUUUACAUAAAAAGAAACUGUCCA
This 1134-nucleotide long non-coding RNA is filed under the name Homo sapiens (human). RNAcentral's name for it is "HSALNT0276072". Lineage: Eukaryota; Metazoa; Chordata; Mammalia; Primates; Hominidae. The record is from RNAcentral.